Molecule: ribosomal RNA, 497 nt
Filed under: uncultured bacterium
Lineage: Bacteria
Description: partial 16S ribosomal RNA
Rfam family: Bacterial small subunit ribosomal RNA
Source: RNAcentral
GAUGAACGCUGGCGGCGUGCCUAAUACAUGCGAGUCGAGCGAACAGACGAGGAGCUUGCUCCUCUGACGUUAGCGGCGGACGGGUGAGUAACACGUGGAUAACCUACCUAUAAGACUGGGAUAACUUCGGGAAACCGGAGCUAAUACCGGAUAAUAUAUUGAACCGCAUGGUUCAAUAGUGAAAGACGGUUUUGCUGUCACUUAUAGAUGGAUCCGCGCCGCAUUAGCUAGUUGGUAAGGUAACGGCUUACCAAGGCAACGAUGCGUAGCCGACCUGGGAGGGUGAUCGGCCACACUGGAACUGAGACACGGUCCAGACUCCUACGGGAGGCAGCAGUAGGGAAUCUUCCGCAAUGGGCGAAAGCCUGACGGAGCAACGCCGCGUGAGUGAUGAAGGUCUUCGGAUCGUAAAACUCUGUUAUUAGGGAAGAACAAAUGUGUAAGUAACUAUGCACGUCUUGACGGUACCUAAUCAGAAAGCCACGGCUAACUACGUG